Molecule: non-coding RNA, 539 nt
Organism: Rattus norvegicus (Norway rat)
Lineage: Eukaryota; Metazoa; Chordata; Mammalia; Rodentia; Muridae
Source: RefSeq, a predicted model, not a curated record
GGGGAUAGGUUCUAUGGAGGUGUGGGUGAAGGGGCUGCCUCAGUGGGCCCAUGAAAUAUCCCUUCCCCUGAGGGCUGGGGAUGGAGGGGUACUGCUUCCCUCAAUGAAGUCAGCUCUGCAGGUUCCCCCUGCUCGGCCAAUCCUUUCUGGAAAUACCUUCCCAGGUAGUGGUGGAUGCUGAAGAGCUGAGGUCUGCACACCAGAGGCUUUCUUCAGAUGUGGAAAACGGUCAUAUGAGGCCGAUGACCAGAACCAGAGCAGUGUCCCUAACCUGGAGAUGAGGCUGACACUCCUAGCUCGGGUUUUCUGCACUGAGGAAGUCAGCGCAGUCAGGGCAUUGCAAUUACAUCGGAAUCCACCAAAAACACCAUUGCUCUUGAUACUCAGCUGUCCCUGGCUGCCUCUGUUUGGUCAGCUGCAUCCGCUGUGGGCACAAGAGGCUUUCCAAAGCCCUUGGAGGGGGCCAACGCGAAGCCUUGAGUCAUCAGAUCAGCCGGAGACUAAUUCCUUGUGUUUAAUAAAAGGAACUUUUAAAUCAA